RNAcentral lists this ribosomal RNA (229 nucleotides) under uncultured bacterium. RNAcentral describes it as "partial 16S ribosomal RNA". It matches the Rfam family "Bacterial small subunit ribosomal RNA", at positions 568 to 796 of the family's 1533-position model. The record is from RNAcentral.
UACGUAGGCGGAAAAUUAAGUCAGUGGUGAAAUCCUGCAGCUUAACUGUAGGACUGUCAUUGAUACUGGUUUUCUUGAAUACAGUUGAGGUAGGCGGAAUGUGUAAUGUAGCGGUGAAAUGCUUAGAUAUUACACAGAACACCGAUUGCGAAGGCAGCUUACUAAACUGUUAUUGACGCUGAGGUACGAAAGCGUGGGGAGCGAACAGGAUUAGAUACCCUGGUAGUCC